GGAGAGAUGGCAGAGUGGUCGAUUGCGGCGGUCUUGAAAACCGUUGAACUGAAGGGUUCCCGGGGUUCGAAUCCCUGUCUCUCCG
This 85-nucleotide transfer RNA is filed under the name Candidatus Azobacteroides pseudotrichonymphae genomovar. CFP2. It matches the Rfam family "tRNA". From Rfam's summary of the family: Transfer RNA (tRNA) molecules are approximately 80 nucleotides in length. Their secondary structure includes four short double-helical elements and three loops (D, anti-codon, and T loops). Lineage: Bacteria; Pseudomonadati; Bacteroidota; Bacteroidia; Bacteroidales. The record is from Rfam by way of RNAcentral.